RNAcentral lists this long non-coding RNA (3149 nucleotides) under Marmota monax (woodchuck). The record is from RNAcentral. Lineage: Eukaryota; Metazoa; Chordata; Mammalia; Rodentia; Sciuridae.
GUAUUAUUUUCCAGAAUUCAUUCGUCUGUAGGUACAACUUGACUAAUCACAUCAGCAGUUCUGACUUUAAGACAGGGAAAAUAAAAACAGGUACGACGUGGGACGGUAAGCUAGCUCCUGGGGAGAAGAGGCCACGUUCCAAGGCCAAGUGGACCCAAGUGUCAACUUGAACCAGAUGCAGCACAAACAAGAGGGACAGACAAAGUAGCCUCAGCUCCAAACGCGGCACUUAGAGGUUGGGGUAAGGUUAGUUAGUUAGCCCUCAUUUCCACCAACGUUGGUAACUGCAGAGCAGCUGGGGAGGUUCACGAAUGUGGGACUGAGGGUAAUUCAGGUUUUGAAAUUAAAUUAGAAAACAGAGGCUCUGUUAAUCUUUAAGCAAGAGUUGAAAAUUGUAAAAGGCGGUAAAGAAGAGGAAGGUCGCACAGAGCUAACGGCCGAGUUCCAGUCCGCGGCGCAGGAAGCGGGAAACUCCAGGCGAAGCCAAAGCGCUUCCCCCAGGCCUCGGCUCCGGAAGUUCCGGGGUCCGUCGCGCCAGCUCCGCGCAUGCGCAGGCCUGCGCUUAGGGUGUGGCGGAGCGCGCCCGGCCCUCGGUCUCUGGAGAAGAGGGCGGGCGGGGAGACGUCACGUGACCGGGAUUGCGGCAUUUGGGGCCCAAUCCGGGAGGUUCUGGGAAAAGCCCUUGUGGAGCAAUUCGGGUAGCCCCGGUCCUUGCGGAGCCCUGACUCGGUGUGUCCGUUUCUGACUUCUCGGUUCUGUUCUCGACUCGGAGGACCCGGUGGUUCUCGCUCGGUGUCCCCGGCGUGGAACCGGAGGCGCCCGUUAGUUCCUUCAGGACCGAGGGGCCUGCUCGGUCUCAGGUCCACCUCGGUCUCGGCGGAUCGCGCGUCCUUUCUACCCCGGCGAUCCCGGAGUCGCGGGAGAGCGCCCCGUGGUAAAACAGCACCCAGAAAAAGAGCCUGCCACCCAUCUCGGGGUGAGGCUGGGGCAGGGCAGGGAGAGUCGAGGUACGUGUCCCCAGGAUGCGACCGAGCUUGGUCCGUGCGCCCACCUCCGAUCAGUUGUCCUGGUGGCUUUCAUUCCAGCCUCCGGAAAAGAACCCCGCGCGGCCGACCCUGCCGCGGCUGCUGGGAGGCAGGGCUGCGAGGUCGAGGCCAGCCUCGGCCACUAAGCAGGACCCCGUCCCCAACAUUAAAAGGAUGUGGCUCCGAGGCACAGCGCCCCGGGGUCAAUCCCCAGUAACCCCACCGCCCAAACCCUCAAGGGUGAUGACUUAACGUGGCCAUUGGCCCCGGAGGGUCGUGGUGGGCGCGGCCUUUCAGGGUUUCCCCCAGCUCGAGCACGUGGAGGGGAGGCCUGGGGCUGGCUCUGGCCCAGCCUCCCGCCCAGCCUCCUGGCUCAGGUCUCGGUUCUCAGUUGCUUUAACUCCAGUUCCUUCUAGUAUAGAUUCUAAUACCGCCCCACCGACUGGUCACAGCUCCCCGCAUGAAUGACGUCAAGCACUACACUGCCCUAAGAAAUGCCGGCGCCACCCCGCCUGGACCCGGCGGCUGGGGAGGCUGAGGCAGGAGGAUUCCAAGUUCAAAGCCAGCCUCAGCAAUUUAUCAGUGCACUAAGCAACUCAGUGAGACCCUGUCUCUAAACAAAAUACAAAAAAGGGCUGGGGACGUGGCUCACUGGUAGAGUGCUUGUCUGGCACUGCGAGGCACUGGUUUGGAUCCUCAGCACCACAUAAAAAUUAGUAAACAAAGAUUGUGUCCAUCUGCAACUAAAAAAAUUUAAAAAUAAAAAAAAUUAAAGGUGGGGGGCUGGGAUGUACUUCAGUAGUUAAGCGCCCCUGGUUUCAAUCCCUGGUACCAAAAAAAAAAAAAAGGUAAAAAAAUCCUUCUGGGAGAAAUUCCCUUCACAUGGAGAAACGGGUAUAGCCUGUGAGCCAAUUCUGGGGCUGCAGAAUAAGCCUAAUCAGGCAAAGUCCCAGUGAAGGGCGGAGAUCAUGGACCUCAUCCUGAAAGAUGGUGUGAAGUAUUUAAUAGGAGAAUCAGAAAAAAUAGGCAAGUUUAUUGAAUGUAAUUUAUUUAUUUAUUUUUGCAUGCAUGUUAUUGAGGAUUGAACCCAGGAAUGGGAUUACAGGGAGCCUGGCUUAUCAUUUCGUGAAGUUAGAAUAGAUUGUUUUCAUCAGUGUUGUGUGUAGCAUGUAUCAUUAUUAAGCAUUAGUGUGAAUGUGUCUGUUGUUUUUUAAGUAGCCAAAUUCAAAUGAUGCCUCAUAAAAUGUUAAAUUAUUUGUAAAUAUAAAUGAAAUUCAAAGUCACACCUACUUCUGAGUCUUUCUUAAUCAGGGUUAUUAUGAAGUAAUCUUACUUCAGGGUUUUACCAAAGUGUCUACACUCCUAUGACAUAAAACUACUUUAUCAAUAUGUAGUCUCCCCCCCCCCCACCCCUGCCAUUAUGUAGUCUUUUUAAAGAUGCUCCUGAGAUCAGUUCAUUUUGUAAUUUCCACUUGUGGUAUAAUCUUUUGUCCUUCCAGUUAAGACUGGCUGUUCAAAUAGACUAAUAACCCAAAUAACUGUCUCAAGGUAAGGUAGGGUUCUCAGAUCUUAGGCUAAUUAGUAUAUGCAAAAGGCACCAGUAGUAGAAUGCUAUUUUAGCUACAGCUGCAGAGUAUCAUUACACCCUAUACUAUAAACAGGAAAAAUUUCCAGCAACUAGAAAAAUAUCUGCUUCAAAGCCUCUCUUUAAAAUACAGAACAAGGAAUAAACAAUAUUUAAGUGUUUUGAAUCAUAGUCUCUCACUGAAUUGCCUCAUUACCUAUCAACCUCACCAAAAACUGUGUGGGGAUUCUACCAUUUUCUUUAACCAAGAGGGUAAAGGCUUUGAAUUUUUUGAAGACAUAAACAAAAGUCAUAGUAAAUACCUGCAGCUGAAAAUUCUUCAGUAUUUUCCAUCCCUCAGGAAGAAUUCUAUAAUUAAAAUACGUUUGCAAUAUUAACCAUAAAACCAAAAAGCAAUUUAAAAACAUUACUUAGCAUUAUACUUGUGCCUUAACUAUACAAAACAUACUUCCCAGACUUCUCCACAAGUGAAACUUUUAUCAGGGGAAAACCCAGAGUACAGAGAAAUACCUACUUUUUCAAAAUUAAACAUGUAAGAA